AUUGAACGCUGGCGGCAUGCCUUACACAUGCAAGUCGAACGGCAGCACGGGAGCAAUCCUGGUGGCGAGUGGCGAACGGGUGAGUAAUAUAUCGGAACGUGCCCAGUCGUGGGGAUAACGUAGCGAAAGCUACGCUAAUACCGCAUACGAUCUAUGGAUGAAAGCGGGGGAUCGCAAGACCUCGCGCGAUUGGAGCGGCCGAUAUCAGAUUAGGUAGUUGGUGAGGUAAAGGCUCACCAAAGCCGACGAUCUGUAGCUGGUCUGAGAGGACGACCAGCCACACUGGGACUGAGACACGGCCUAGACUCCUACGGGAGGCAGCAGUGGGGAAUUUUGGACAAUGGGCGCAAGCCUGAUCCAGCAAUGCCGCGUGCAGGAUGAAGGCUCGGUUGUUAACGUAGUC
Molecule: ribosomal RNA, 403 nt
Filed under: uncultured bacterium
Lineage: Bacteria
Description: bacterial SSU rRNA
Rfam family: Bacterial small subunit ribosomal RNA
Source: RNAcentral